CUGUGGAUGACCCAAGUAGGGAUUAACACCAGCAUGUUUCUUCUCUCUGUGAAGAAUAGUCAUAAUGACUUUUAAGUGGUUGGCUUCCAACCCUAUUUUAUUUUUAUUUAUUUAUAUAUUUUAAGAGUUUAUUUAUUUAUAUUGAGAGAGAGGGCACGCAGAGAGAGAGGGUGAGAAAGACAAUCCCAAGCAGCCUCUGUGCCAUCAGCCCAGAGCCCGAUGAGGGGCUCGAACCCACAAACUGUGAGAUCAUGACCUAAGCCAAAAUCAAGAGCCAGACACUUAACCGACUGAGCCCCCUGGUUCCCCCACCUCAUUUUAUUUUUAAAUCUUACUUUUUUUCUCUUGUGUGUUUUGGAGUACUCUGGAUGUACAAUUUCUUGUUGGUUCCUGGAAGAAUAGUAUGGUGAACACAUGAUUGUUCUCUCCUCAGGGACUGUGAGUUCCAAUUCCUCUGACACAUACUGCUAUGGGGAGAGAGUCACGGGAUAACUGCACUUCUGGAUUUCUCAAAUUCUUCUGUGAACAGAAGAAUAAAUCAAAGAAGAACUCUUACCUUGCAAAUUUCAAAUAUGUACAAGAAUAGGAAAUACAGUUCACCUUUGAAC
RNAcentral lists this long non-coding RNA (608 nucleotides) under Felis catus (domestic cat). RNAcentral describes it as "lncRNA (ENSFCAG00000046285.2)". The record is from RNAcentral. Lineage: Eukaryota; Metazoa; Chordata; Mammalia; Carnivora; Felidae.